UAUGAAAAUUUAUAUUAGUUAUUAUUGAAAUUAAUAUACCAUUAUGCAAGAUGAUCAAGAAUGAUAGAUUGUCUAUACAUCUUAAAAGAAUUCACAAUUUGAGACACAGAGCCAUACAAAAAAGUAGGAUCAGUGAUUCAGUUUACAAGAAUAAUCAAGUUUUUGUACAUGUUUUCAUGCGUGCAUUUAUGGGUUACCAGUCAUUCGGUGGAGUAAAUGAUGACGAUUCAACGGGCCCAAUCUUCUUUCGCCGGUCCUUGUCUUUGUUGUCUCGCACGAAGUUAGCAAUUAAUAACGUAACCUGUCAAAAGAUUAAUUUUGGUCUUCUUCUUUUAUCUCCACCCCUCUUAUCUUUAUGGUCCUUAUCUUGAAGCGUUCAAGCUUAUGNNNGUUAGUCUUGUAGGAAGCUUUACAGCCAUUGACAACUCCGAAAUGCUUUUAGUUUCUUUCUCUUCUUCCUUUUCCUCUUCAACGUCUAUUGCCAUUGGAGGCGCCACUGAAAACCAAUGCUCAGGCAUAUAGUAGGGGUGGGCAACGUUGUUGUGCUGAGGAGAAUGAACUAGGGUUUGGCUUUUGGCCUGUGGGGAGAAACAAUUAUCAAAACUCAUGUUGUAACGUCGCAUAGGUGAUAUUGGAGGAUGAAAAUAAGGUGAAGAAGGCUUUGAAUCAAGAUUAAUCUUGAGCGACAUGUUUGUAGCUUCAAUAAGAGAGAAAUUAAUAAGAGUAUAUAUGAUGAUUAUAUGUUGGUUUUAGAGGCGUAUAUAUAUUGAGCAACUCUUGUACAAAAAUGGAAGGUAAGACAGGAAAUGAUUU
RNAcentral lists this long non-coding RNA (813 nucleotides) under Ricinus communis (castor bean). RNAcentral describes it as "long non-coding RNA (RCOM_LNC002340)". The record is from RNAcentral. Lineage: Eukaryota; Viridiplantae; Streptophyta; Magnoliopsida; Malpighiales; Euphorbiaceae.